GGGGGUGUAGCUGAGUGGUAUAGCACUUGCCUACCAUGCACGAGGCCCUGGAUUCAAUCCCCAGUACCUCAA
RNAcentral lists this transfer RNA (72 nucleotides) under Ictidomys tridecemlineatus (thirteen-lined ground squirrel). RNAcentral describes it as "Spermophilus tridecemlineatus (thirteen-lined ground squirrel) tRNA". It matches the Rfam family "tRNA". Rfam says of the family: Transfer RNA (tRNA) molecules are approximately 80 nucleotides in length. Lineage: Eukaryota; Metazoa; Chordata; Mammalia; Rodentia; Sciuridae. The record is from Rfam by way of RNAcentral.